GAUAUAUAUCUAAAAUAAAACUAUGAUUGAUAGUGCUGAAAAAUUCAAAAUGUAAUUCAUUUAUAAUUGAUGCACGAGAAGAUAUAUCUAACGGAACACUCGUGACUCGUCCAUAGUAAAUAUAUGGUGGUACUUAGUACUUAUAAUGAUAACAAUUUGAAAAUUUAAAACCGCAUGACUGAAACGAACGAGCUAUAAUGAAUCUGACACAUUUUAGAAAGUUUUUAUGCACGUAAGUUGAUGGCACUAUGUAGUCACGUAGUUAGGUAUAUAAAUACAAAAUAAU
This is a long non-coding RNA of Acyrthosiphon pisum (pea aphid), 286 nucleotides long. RefSeq lists it as uncharacterized. The transcript is spliced from 3 exons. Lineage: Eukaryota; Metazoa; Arthropoda; Insecta; Hemiptera; Aphididae. The record is from RefSeq and is a predicted model, not a curated record.